AAAUAUUUUAUCAAAAUCAUUGGCGUUUCGCAAUUUAGGCGAAAAAGCCGAAAUUAUGGAGCAUGAAAGCCUCCACGGCUGACACUAUCUACGGAGAUGGCCAACAAUUGUAUGUGUAAAAUAAUUAAACUAUUUGUGCAACGUUAAUGAAUUUGUUUACAUGCCCGCGGUGCAGUGGAAUUUUUCAUCUUAGUGGAAAAUCCAUUCAAUCUACUGGAAAAGCUUUAUGCAAAAAAAAAGAGGAGAAGCAAAAAAAAACCAUUUAAAUCACACGGAGCAAAAUGUGGCAGAGAAAAACCCGUUUAAUGAUUAAUCACACGAGCAUGCGAUCGGGAGAGCGAUAGAGAGGGAGAGAAAGAGAUCUCGCAAAGCGCGGUACAAAUGUCAGAGACAGCGAACAUCAAUCUCCAGCGGCGGCCAGAAAGAGCCAGGCAACCUGGCCACAUGGUGGUGGUGGCAAAGUCAACGAGUUCUUUGGUUGCCACAAAAGGAAAAAGCAUUAGAGCCACAAGCCGCUGCUGCUCCACCGACAGAGUGGGGGAACGAUGGGAAAACCGGCUAAAAGGUGGCCAAAUGCGUUAGCCAUCGUUUUGGUUGUUUUUUUUUUAUUGGGUUUGUUGUUGUUGCAGUGUUGCUGUAACGUUGCAGCAAAACUACAGUUGGGUUCAUAACCUCAUUUCAAAUUGGCAAACAGGUGCGACACAAAUCGUGUAUGUCCACUACACUCCACCCCAAUCCGAUCCACUCCAACCCUCUCCACGUCUGACUCCUGCCACGUUGUAAUGUAAGAUGAUGAUACGCUGAGGCAAACAGCCAUUGGGUUAAGUGACAAAAAAUAUAUAUAAAUAGCCAAAGCACUUUAGGGGGUUCAAAGAAGACUUUAGAAGAAACUUUAGAGAACAUUAAAAAAGUGCUUAGAAUAUUGC
This 926-nucleotide long non-coding RNA is filed under the name Drosophila guanche. The record is from RNAcentral. Lineage: Eukaryota; Metazoa; Arthropoda; Insecta; Diptera; Drosophilidae.